CCAAUAGCGUAUAUUAAAGUUGUUGCAGUUAAAAAGCUCGUAGUUGAAUUUCGGGAUUGACACAUCGGUCGUGCCUUAAGGGGUAUGAACUGGUGUAGUCAAUUUCUCACCUUCUGGAGAACCGCGAUGCCCUUAAUUGGGUGUCACGGGGAACCAGGACCUUUACUUUGAAAAAAUUAGAGUGUUUAAAGCAGGCAUUUUGCUUGAAUACAUUAGCAUGGAAUAAUAAAAUAGGACGGCAUGAUUCUAUUUUGUUGGUUUCUAGGAUCACCGUAAUGAUUAAUAGGGAUAGUUGGGGGCAUUAGUAUUCAAUUGUCAGAGGUGAAAUUCUUGGAUUUAUUGAAGACUAACUACUGCGAAAGCAUUUGCCAAGGAUGUUUUCAUUAAUCAAGAACGAAAGUUAGGGGAUCGAAGACGAUCAGAUACCGUCGUAGUCUUAAUCAUAAACUAUGCCGACUAGGAAUCAGACGAUGUUAAUUUUUUAAUGACUCGUUUGGCACCUUACG
RNAcentral lists this ribosomal RNA (506 nucleotides) under uncultured Glomeromycotina. Its description in RNAcentral is "partial small subunit ribosomal RNA". It matches the Rfam family "Eukaryotic small subunit ribosomal RNA", at positions 591 to 1092 of the family's 1831-position model. The record is from RNAcentral. Lineage: Eukaryota; Fungi; Glomeromycota.